Molecule: non-coding RNA, 21 nt
Filed under: Caenorhabditis elegans
Lineage: Eukaryota; Metazoa; Nematoda; Chromadorea; Rhabditida; Rhabditidae
Source: RNAcentral
UGAAUUUUUCGUAUACAUUUU